CCUACGGGAGGCAGCAGUGAGGAAUAUUGGUCAAUGGACGAGAGUCUGAACCAGCCAAGUAGCGUGAAGGAUGACUGCCCUAUGGGUUGUAAACUUCUUUUAUAUGGGAAUAAAAUGUUCCACGUGUGGGAUUUUGUAUGUACCAUAUGAAUAAGGAUCGGCUAACUCCGUGCCAGCAGCCUCGGUAAUACGGAGGAUCCGAGCGUUAUCCGGAUUUAUUGGGUUUAAAGGGAGCGUAGGUGGAUUGUUAAGUCAGUUGUGAAAGUUUGCGGCUCAACCGUAAAAUUGCAGUUGAAACUGGCAGUCUUGAGUACAGUAGAGGUGGGCGGAAUUCGUGGUGUAGCGGUGAAAUGCUUAGAUAUCACGAAGAACUCCGAUUGCGAAGGCAGUUCACUGGACUGCAACUGACACUGAGGCUCGAAAGUGUGGGUAUCAAACAGGAUUAGAUACCCCUGUAGUC
RNAcentral lists this ribosomal RNA (460 nucleotides) under uncultured bacterium. RNAcentral's name for it is "partial 16S ribosomal RNA". It matches the Rfam family "Bacterial small subunit ribosomal RNA", at positions 338 to 795 of the family's 1533-position model. The record is from RNAcentral.